Solanum stenotomum is the source of this 294-nucleotide long non-coding RNA. RefSeq lists it as uncharacterized. The record is from RefSeq and is a predicted model, not a curated record. Lineage: Eukaryota; Viridiplantae; Streptophyta; Magnoliopsida; Solanales; Solanaceae. The transcript has 3 exons.
CACACUUCUUGAAGGUUGUAUAUACUCGUGAACAAGUUGAGGACCUUGAUACAUUGGUUGGACUGUUUCCUUGCUAAAGCACCGAGGGAAAGAUCGAGAGGAGGCAUGAAGCUGGCCAUUGGGGAUGGAAGAUCACAAUUGCAUAUAGACAUCUAUAUUUUGCAUAAACCUUGGGACUUGUACAUGAUUUAUGUGUUGUAUAAUUACAUGAAGUUUCGAGGACGAAUUUGAUCAUGUCACCAGGGGUUGUAAUAUAAGUAUGACUAUGUGUUUUGUUCUUUUGGGGCGUGUAAG